GUGUCAGCCGCCGCGGUAAGACGUAGGGGGCGAGCGUUGUCCGGAUUUAUUGGGCGUAAAGCGUGCGUAGGCGGCUGCGCAAGUCGGGUGUGAAACCCCGGGGCUCAACCCCGGAACUGCAUCCGAUACUGCGUGGCUAGAGGUAGGUAGGGGAGAUCGGAAUUCCUGGUGUAGCGGUGAAAUGCGCAGAUAUCAGGAGGAACACCGGUGGCGAAGGCGGAUCUCUGGGCCUUACCUGACGCUCAGGCACGAAAGCUAGGGGAGCGAACAGGAUUAGAUACCCCAGUAGUCC
This 292-nucleotide ribosomal RNA is filed under the name uncultured bacterium. Its description in RNAcentral is "partial 16S ribosomal RNA". It matches the Rfam family "Bacterial small subunit ribosomal RNA", at positions 505 to 796 of the family's 1533-position model. The record is from RNAcentral.